UAGUAAUAUUCACGAAACUGCUCUUGGAUCCCCAUACAACCAUGAAUGUGACAUGCUCGAUAAAGAGGCGUCAGGUCAAACUUUAAGACAGAUUCUUCAUUAAUCUCCUCAACAUCUAGGGUAUAAGUGAAGUCUCCUAACCCCAAACAACUUUGUUCCUCGGCUUUUCUUUGACGGGCUAGCAUAUCCUCAUCCCUUUGACGAGCAGAUGCAGCAUAUCCUAUUGCAGUUUGCCCAAUAUCCUUUGCUGUACUCCUUAUGUGAACUAGCCAUUCAUUAAUUUCACUGGUUACUCUCUUCUCAAUAUGCAAUUUAAUCAGUGGUAUUCUCUUCUCUAUCAUAGUCCUGAGUGGCUUGACGGGAAUGUUCUG
RNAcentral lists this unclassified non-coding RNA (371 nucleotides) under Hevea brasiliensis (rubber tree). Lineage: Eukaryota; Viridiplantae; Streptophyta; Magnoliopsida; Malpighiales; Euphorbiaceae. The record is from RNAcentral.